Molecule: ribosomal RNA, 497 nt
Filed under: uncultured bacterium
Lineage: Bacteria
Description: partial 16S ribosomal RNA
Rfam family: Bacterial small subunit ribosomal RNA
Source: RNAcentral
GAUGAACGCUGGCGGCGUGCCUAAUACAUGCAAGUCGAGCGAACAGACGAGAAGCUUGCUCCUCUGAUGUUAGCGGCGGACGGGUGAGUAACACGUGGAUAACCUACCUAUAAGACUGGGAUAACUUCGGGAAACCGGAGCUAAUACCGGAUAAUAUUUUGAACCGCAUGGUUCAAAAGUGAAAGACGGUUUUGCUGUCACUUAUAGAUGGAUCCGCGCUGCAUUAGCUAGUUGGUAAGGUAACGGCUUACCAAGGCAACGAUGCAUAGCCGACCUGAGAGGGUGAUCGGCCACACUGGAACUGAGACACGGUCCAGACUCCUACGGGAGGCAGCAGUAGGGAAUCUUCCGCAAUGGGCGAAAGCCUGACGGAGCAACGCCGCGUGAGUGAUGAAGGUCUUCGGAUCGUAAAACUCUGUUAUUAGGGAAGAACAUAUGUGUAAGUAACUGUGCACGUCUUGACGGUACCUAAUCAGAAAGCCACGGCUAACUACGUG